AUGCAGAAAACAGCUAUCCAGUUGAAAGACUCUGCUGCUACUUUUGUACCUUCAGAGACACAGUUAGUCAAAGUAGAUGAGAAGCCAACAAAAGAUACACAAAGGGGAGAAAAGCAGAGAAGCGAGCUUCAUGCCUUCUCCAUUAUCUUCUGUCCAGGAGGAAGCACAGGACAAUCUGUGAAACAAACAACUGGCAUUAUGACUGUUACUGAGGGACAACUUGUCUCUCUCCAUUGUUCUUAUGAAGCACGGUUUAGAGACACACAUUACUUAUUCUGGUACAUUCAGCCUCCUGAUCAACCUCCAAAAUCCCUUUUGGCAUCUUAUUCAAAACAAGCUCAACAAGCUCAAGGAUUCCAAGCUACUCACAUUCCCCAUGACAACAAGCAAAACGGGACUUUCAACAUGCAGAAACCAGCCAUCCAGUUGAAGGACUCUGCUGUCUACUUCUGUGCAUUACAAGAGACACAGUGA
Molecule: non-coding RNA, 474 nt
Organism: Notechis scutatus (mainland tiger snake)
Lineage: Eukaryota; Metazoa; Chordata; Lepidosauria; Squamata; Elapidae
Source: the annotation of a RefSeq genome assembly